GACGAUGCAUAGCCGAGUUGAGAGACUGAUCGGCCACAUUGGGACUGAGACACGGCCCAAACUCCUACGGGAGGCAGCAGUAGGGAAUCUUCCACAAUGGGCGAAAGCCUGAUGGAGCAACGCCGCGUGAGUGAAGAAGGUUUUCGGAUCGUAAAGCUCUGUUGUUGGUGAAGAAGGAUAGAGGUAGUAACUGGCCCCUAUUUGACGGUAAUCAACCAGAAAGUCACGGCUAACUACGUGCCAGCAGCCGCGGUAAUACGUAGGUGGCAAGCGUUGUCCGGAUUUAUUGGGCGUAAAGCGAGCGCAGGCGGAAAGAUAAGUCUGAUGUGAAAGCCCCCGGCUUAACCGAGGAAUUGCAUCGGAAACUGUGCUUCUUGAGUGCAGAAGAGGAGAGUGGAACUCCAUGUGUAGCGGUGGAAUGCGUAGAUAUAUGGAAGAACACCAGUGGCGAAGGCGGCUCUCUGGUCUGUAACUGACGCUGAGGCUCGAAAGCAUGGGUAGAGAACAGGAUUAGAUACCCUGGUAGUCCAUGCCGUAAACGAUGAGUGCUAAGUGUUGGGAGGUUUCCGCCUCUCA
RNAcentral lists this ribosomal RNA (576 nucleotides) under uncultured bacterium. Its description in RNAcentral is "bacterial SSU rRNA". It matches the Rfam family "Bacterial small subunit ribosomal RNA", at positions 275 to 842 of the family's 1533-position model. The record is from RNAcentral.